GCCGCGGUGGUGAAAUUGGCAUACACGUCAGCUUUAGGAGCUGAUGCCGUAAGGCGUGAGAGUCCGAGUCUCUCCCGCGGCACAA
RNAcentral lists this transfer RNA (85 nucleotides) under Patescibacteria group bacterium. RNAcentral's name for it is "tRNA-Leu". It matches the Rfam family "tRNA". From Rfam's summary of the family: Transfer RNA (tRNA) molecules are approximately 80 nucleotides in length. Their secondary structure includes four short double-helical elements and three loops (D, anti-codon, and T loops). Further hydrogen bonds mediate the characteristic L-shaped molecular structure. tRNAs have two regions of fundamental functional importance: the anti-codon, which is responsible for specific mRNA codon recognition, and the 3' end, to which the tRNAs corresponding amino acid is attached (by aminoacyl-tRNA synthetases). tRNAs cope with the degeneracy of the genetic code in two manners: having more than one tRNA (with a specific anti-codon) for a particular amino acid; and 'wobble' base-pairing, i.e. permitting non-standard base-pairing at the 3rd anti-codon position. The record is from RNAcentral.